Molecule: long non-coding RNA, 450 nt
Organism: Labeo rohita (rohu)
Lineage: Eukaryota; Metazoa; Chordata; Actinopteri; Cypriniformes; Cyprinidae
Exons: 3
Source: RefSeq, a predicted model, not a curated record
UGUGUUUUUCCAUUGUGUGAUGGUUUUGUUGUGUGUGUUGUGUAGGAUCAUGCACUGGGCUCGUCGCAUUGAACAGGAGAUUGACAGAGUCUUGCAGCACAUCAGCGGCGCUCAACAACUAAAAGGGUUCUACAGUGAGAAGAGAAGACAGUUCAGUCUGGUCAGAAAUAAUCGUUGAGAAAGUUGCGACUGACAUCGAGAGACUGCUGGCAAAGAAACGCAAAGCACUUGAGAAACUUGUGAGUGAAGCAGAGCGUCUUCAGAAAGUCAUCAUUGGCAGGAUGGAAUCAAGGUCAGACGACUUUAACAUCACUAAUUUAUGGUUAUGCAUUUGUGCAAUUUCAUUUUUAACAUUGCUCUUGCACUUGUGAGUGAGUGAUCCGAGUAUGACCAAUGACUCCUGUGUUGAUUCAUUACAACAGUGGUUCCCAAACUUUUUCUGCCGGGCCC